AUUGAACGCUGGCGGCAUGCCUUACACAUGCAAGUCGAACGGCAGCACGGAGCUUGCUCUGGUGGCGAGUGGCGAACGGGUGAGUAAUAUAUCGGAACGUACCCUAGAGUGGGGGAUAACGUAGCGAAAGUUACGCUAAUACCGCAUACGAUCUAAGGAUGAAAGUGGGGGAUUCGCAAGAACCUCAUGCUCGUGGAGCGGCCGAUAUCUGAUUAGCUAGUUGGUAGGGUAAAAGCCUACCAAGGCAUCGAUCAGUAGCUGGUCUGAGAGGACGACCAGCCACACUGGAACUGAGACACGGUCCAGACUCCUACGGGAGGCAGCAGUGGGGAAUUUUGGACAAUGGGCGAAAGCCUGAUCCAGCAAUGCCGCGUGAGUGAAGAAGGCCUUCGGGUUGUAAAGCUCUUUUGUCAGGGAAGAAACGGUGAAAGCUAAUAUCUUUUGCUAAUGACGGUACCUGAAGAAUAAGCACCGGCUAACUACGUGCCAGCAGCCGCGGUAAUACGUAGGGUGCAAGCGUUAAUCGGAAUUACUGGGCGUAAAGCGUGCGCAGGCGGUUUUGUAAGUCUGAUGUGAAAUCCCCGGGCUCAACCUGGGAAUUGCAUUGGAGACUGCAAGGCUAGAAUCUGGCAGAGGGGGGUAGAAUUCCACGUGUAGCAGUGAAAUGCGUAGAUAUGUGGAGGAACACCGAUGGCGAAGGCAGCCCCCUGGGUCAAGAUUGACGCUCAUGCACGAAAGCGUGGGGAGCAAACAGGAUUAGAUACCCUGGUAGUCCACGCCCUAAACGAUGUCUACUAGUUGUCGGGUCGUAAUUGACUUGGUAACGCAGCUAACGCGUGAAGUAGACCGCCUGGGGAGUACGGUCGCAAGAUUAAAACUCAAAGGAAUUGACGGGGACCCGCACAAGCGGUGGAUGAUGUGGAUUAAUUCGAUGCAACGCGAAAAACCUUACCUACCCUUGACAUGGCUGGAAUCCUCGAGAGAUCAGGGAGUGCUCGAAAGAGAACCAGUACACAGGUGCUGCAUGGCUGUCGUCAGCUCGUGUCGUGAGAUGUUGGGUUAAGUCCCGCAACGAGCGCAACCCUUGUCAUUAGUUGCUACGAAAGGGCACUCUAAUGAGACUGCCGGUGACAAACCGGAGGAAGGUGGGGAUGACGUCAAGUCCUCAUGGCCCUUAUGGGUAGGGCUUCACACGUCAUACAAUGGUACAUACAGAGCGCCGCCAACCCGCGAGGGGGAGCUAAUCGCAGAAAGUGUAUCGUAGUCCGGAUUGUAGUCUGCAACUCGACUGCAUGAAGUUGGAAUCGCUAGUAAUCGCGGAUCAGCAUGUCGCGGUGAAUACGUUCCCGGGUCU
This 1354-nucleotide ribosomal RNA is filed under the name uncultured bacterium. RNAcentral's name for it is "bacterial SSU rRNA". It matches the Rfam family "Bacterial small subunit ribosomal RNA", at positions 28 to 1381 of the family's 1533-position model. The record is from RNAcentral.